UGUUAAUGAUGUUCAUGAGGGUGAAACCUUCAUUGAAGAUAUUAAAGGUCAAAUUCCAAAUUAGUUGUUCAAGUUCUAUCUCCUGUUGUUGCGGUUUAUUUUUGUUCUAUUUGUGCAUUUCUUUUCAAUCUUACUUCACAUACUGAUAAUUGAAUAAUAACUUAACUUACGUCUUUUAAUUUUGUCUACUACAGACGAGAUUGACCCUGAUCACGUGUCAUUAAAGACACCUUCUAACAAAACUGGAGCUUCUCUUAUUUCCCAUUCUCAAAGUGAUGAAGUUGAAGAUGUCAUUGAUUCGAAAUUAUCUUCCACCAAAAUGAUGAAGUUCCCAAAAAAGGAGUAAACCAACCUGGCCAACUAUUUUUAAGCUUUGAUUUUCUAUGUUUCAAUCAGUGGUUUCUUAUAUAAAUCACUUAGAAUGUUGCUUUAAGUAUGGUUGUUCUUAAAACAAAAAUAUACUUUUUGUGUGCUUAAAAUCUGUUAUUAUAUCUUAAUUGUGUUCCAGUACUUUAACACAAUUUGGUUUCUUUAUGUCUUAAAACCUAUAAUGUUCAAUAUAAUGCAAUUUCUA
RNAcentral lists this long non-coding RNA (574 nucleotides) under Trifolium pratense (red clover). RNAcentral's name for it is "long non-coding RNA (TPRA_LNC001699)". Lineage: Eukaryota; Viridiplantae; Streptophyta; Magnoliopsida; Fabales; Fabaceae. The record is from RNAcentral.